GAGGGAGCAACAGCAAGAAAAACCAAGCUAUGGCUGCACAUCUGGUCCCAGGGCUUGGCUGGGAGGAAACCCCCAUCUUGGGUCUGCUGUUCCGUGCACGGUGCCCUGGGCUCCCUCUGCUCGGGGAGCCAGAAGUGACUCACAGUUUUGGUAUCUCCUACGUAAGAGCUUUGGGGGGAUUCCUUGGCUUGCUGACAGGAGAGGAAGAAAGCAGCAGCAGUGAGGUAAAACACGAUUACUUCCAACUGCCUGGCGGAGGACACGCAGUCGCUUGGCUUGCCUGGAACAGCUUGCAGCUCUGUGAUGGCACGCGGAGGGAGAAUAAUUAAAAAGGCCAGCAUCACUUACUAAGAAGCUGCUGCAAUGCUACGGAAAAAUGCUGGGAAAAGGAGGCUGAGGAAAUUCAGUUUUCUGAUGACUGGGCGCUAGGCAAAAUGUGCCAGGUGACUAUCUUUGCCAUUUGGACCGCCAAGUGGGAGCAAAUUUGGGAUUCCUAUUCCAUUGUCACCCAGCUGUGGCUUGAUACCUCAGUACAUUGCAAGUUUCCUGAGCAGGAGACAUGCACCAUGCAGAAGUGUGCCUUGGAGACUCAAAGGAGGAGAGAUUAAGCCAGUUAACUCUUCAUUGCAAGUAAGUAGGAAAAAGAAAAAUAAAGAUAGAAAUCCCCAGAAAAGAGAGAUCCUGCCUUUAGUUUUGAAAAAAGCUUUUCCACGGCAUCUGAAAUAACUUCAACUGGAAAAGUCAUAUCCAAUUGAACUGAUGAGCCACAAAAGCUGAUAUAAGAGGUAACUUCAUCAGAAGAUCCUCCUUGCAAAAGAUCUGGAACUGUAUUUAAUCUGCCAAGGUGGUGCUAGUGGUAAAGAAACUGACUGCCAAUGAAGGAGAUGCAAGAGACGCGAGUUUGAUUCCUGGGUCGAGAAGAUCCCCUGGAGGAGGAAAUUUGAAGCCAGAACCAUAUUCUUCCUGGGAAAGAUUUUAUACUUUCUUACAUGUAGGUGAGUAUGUUUACUAAUAACAUAUGAUGCUUUAAAAAUGCAUUUAAAGGUUACACAUUCUUUCGCAAUUUGCUUUCUUUACUCAACAUUUGUUUCUGAGCUUUUUCUAUGUUGAAAUUAUAGAUCUAAUUCUUUGAUUUUAAUUAUUUUAUUAUAGUAAGUAGACCACAAUGGAUCCAAGCAUUCUUCUUUGGGUGGAUGUUUAGUUUGCAGACCAUUUUUCACUACCACAAG
Molecule: long non-coding RNA, 1229 nt
Organism: Cervus elaphus (red deer)
Lineage: Eukaryota; Metazoa; Chordata; Mammalia; Artiodactyla; Cervidae
Exons: 6
Source: RefSeq, a predicted model, not a curated record